UGGGGAAUUUUGGACAAUGGGCGCAAGCCUGAUCCAGCCAUGCCGCGUGAGUGAAGAAGGCCUUCGGGUUGUAAAGCUCUUUCGGUUGGGAAGAAAUUGCUUCGGAUAAUACCCGGAGUAGAUGACGGUACCAGCAUAAGAAGCACCGGCUAACUACGUGCCAGCAGCCGCGGUAAUACGUAGGGUGCGAGCGUUAAUCGGAAUUACUGGGCGUAAAGCGUGCGCAGGCGGUUGUGUAAGUCAGAUGUGAAAUCCCCGGGCUCAACCUGUGAACUGCAUUUGAGACUGCACGGCUAGAGGGUGGCAGAGGGGGGUAGAAUUCCACGUGUAGCAGUGAAAUGCGUAGAGAUGUGGAGGAAUACCGAUGGCGAAGGCAGCGCCCUGGGACAAUACUGACGCUCAUGCACGAAAGCGUGGGGAGCAAACA
RNAcentral lists this ribosomal RNA (427 nucleotides) under uncultured prokaryote. Its description in RNAcentral is "bacterial SSU rRNA". It matches the Rfam family "Bacterial small subunit ribosomal RNA", at positions 355 to 774 of the family's 1533-position model. The record is from RNAcentral.